UACGUAGGGGGCGAGCGUUGUCCGAAGUUACUGGGCUUAAAGCGCGUGUAGGCGGGUCGUUAAGUGUCCGAGUGAAAUCCCACGGCUCAACCGUGGAACUGCCGGGCAUACUGGCGAUCUUGAGGCAUUCAGGGGCGAGCGGAACAAAUGGUGGAGCGGUGAAAUGCGUAGAUAUCAUUUGGAACGCCAAUGGUGAAAACAGCUCGCUGGGAAUGAUCUGACGCUGAGACGCGAAAGCCAGGGGAGCGAACGGG
This 254-nucleotide ribosomal RNA is filed under the name uncultured bacterium. RNAcentral describes it as "partial 16S ribosomal RNA". It matches the Rfam family "Bacterial small subunit ribosomal RNA", at positions 524 to 776 of the family's 1533-position model. The record is from RNAcentral.